AGCACUCUGUAUUACAGUUGGAAAUGAGAGACUUACAUCAGCUAGCAACACUUCCACAGUUGUGUUAAACAGCUUAUCACCAGGGUGCUCCAUGUUUCCACUUCUGAAGAAGUACCUGAUAGGAAAGGUCUGUUCUCCAGUCUGACAAAGAGAGAAGAAACUUUGCUGAACCAGGCAGGAUGGCUCCUUUUGGUGCCAACCUCAGUUUCUACUGCUCAUAGAUAGGGAUACCCAUCACCAGUGAGACUGCAAAGAAAGAAGUCCACAAGCCACAUAACCUUAAGUCAGACUGACAGAUCUAUGGGCACUCCAGUGAGAACUCCAGCACUAGAUCACAUUGCUACAGGUGCACCUACAAUUGAGAAGGCUGCAGAAAGUUAUCCAUUGUCAUGGGCAUGGCCAAGUUGGUUUUUCAGUUAAGCCAAAAAUGCUGCCAAUGUUUCUUUAUAUAAAAUCACCCUAGAGGAGGGUCAUAAUUUCAACAAAACAUAAACCCCCGCAAAUGGUUGAUGAGUUCCUUAUUAUUGCUUAUGAAAGUUCUUUUUAACUAUCACAUGAGAGUUAGGAGAAGAUGUAACUGUAUAUUUUGUAUUAGAUUUCAACAGAAUUCAUUAUGAUUUGUGCAGGUAUUAGCUGAUUUUGCAUGUGGAUGAAAAAGUUACACUGAAAAUUUAUUAAUAUCUUUUAAAGAAUCUCAUCACCUUUCCAUUUGCUUCUAACUUUAGCAAACCGAGUACAUAAUAAAUUCUCCUUGGCUUCCUCAUUCAUGUUCAUUUUAGAGGAAAAAAUGUCAGCUAAUGCAUCUCAGCCAUAUGAAUAUAUGAAUAAAACCAGUAUUUUUUCUCAAUUAUGACUAUUUUUUGUUGAUAUUUAAAAAGAUUUAUCAGAAUACUUCAGGGUAGAAACUUGAAAUUGGGAGGGGUGUGGUAGAAGUCCUUUUGCCAUCCCCAUUAAAAUCCAUUCAUUUUGGCAGCAUUAUAAAUUUCAGGGGAAAACCCACUCCAAACUUUGAGUAUGCUUGAUUGUUAGAACUUAAUAUAUAAUAUAAAC
This is a long non-coding RNA of Pezoporus flaviventris, 1050 nucleotides long. RefSeq lists it as uncharacterized. The transcript is spliced from 4 exons. The record is from RefSeq and is a predicted model, not a curated record. Lineage: Eukaryota; Metazoa; Chordata; Aves; Psittaciformes; Psittacidae.